RNAcentral lists this ribosomal RNA (468 nucleotides) under uncultured bacterium. Its description in RNAcentral is "partial 16S ribosomal RNA". It matches the Rfam family "Bacterial small subunit ribosomal RNA", at positions 28 to 507 of the family's 1533-position model. The record is from RNAcentral.
GACGAACGCUGGCGGCGUGCUUAACACAUGCAAGUCGAACGGAAAGGCCCUGCUUUUGUGGGGUGCUCGAGUGGCGAACGCGUGAGUAACACGUGAGUAACCUGCCCUUGACUUUGGGAUAACUUCAGGAAACUGGGGCUAAUACCGGAUAGGAGCUCCUGCUGCAUGGUGGGGGUUGGAAAGUUUCGGCGGUUGGGGAUGGACUCGCGGCUUAUCAGCUUGUUGGUGGGGUAGUGGCUUACCAAGGCUUUGACGGGUAGCCGGCCUGAGAGGGUGACCGGCCACAUUGGGACUGAGAUACGGCGCAGACGCCUACGGGCGGCAGCAGUGGGGAAUAUUGCACAAUGGGCGGACGCCUGAUGCAGCAACGCCGCGUGCGGGAUGACGGCCUUCGGGUUGUAAACCGCUUUCGCCUGUGACGAAGCGUGAGUGACGGUAAUGGGUCAAGAAGCACCGGCUAACUACGUG